This 457-nucleotide long non-coding RNA is filed under the name Olea europaea (common olive). RNAcentral describes it as "long non-coding RNA (OEUR_LNC001594)". The record is from RNAcentral. Lineage: Eukaryota; Viridiplantae; Streptophyta; Magnoliopsida; Lamiales; Oleaceae.
GGAUAUGCAGGGCAGUGUUUAGGACUUUUGAGGGUUUGAAUUUGGAGCAAUACCCUUAAUGGGCUAUACAAAAAUAAUGGCUAUUGGACUGACUUCAAUUAAUACAAGAUUAGAUUCAUAUAAAAAUUAAAUUAUAAAUUAAAGUUUGGUUCUUGGUUUGGUUCUCAGUUCUAGAACUAUAACCAAACUUGUACCGGAACCAAAUGGUUCUCGGUAUGAAUAACCAAAACCAUUAAUUUUUUUUGUGGAACCUCGAUUUGGUUUGGUUCUGAUUUGGUCUGGACAUUUUGUCCACCCCUAAUGCUCAUGAUGCGGACACGACCUUCUUGUACAUAUUAUAUGUUGCAGAGAGAAAAUUUCAAGAGCCCAAACAUGUGUUAUGGACAUGUUCACGCUUUAGAUGCAGGCACAUCCAUUUUCAGAUAUUGCUAUCGAUGGAAAAAGUUAAGGAUCCAAA